GAUGAACGCUGGCGGCGGGCCUAAUACAUGCAAGUCGAGCGAACAGAGGAGGAUCUCGCCUCGCUGACGUGAGGGGCGGACGAGUGAGGACCACGAGGAUGACCUACAGAUGGGACUAGGGUAAGGACGCGGAAGCGAAUAUAAUACCGGAUAAGAUAGUGAAAGGGAUGGGUCAAUAGAGAUAGAGGGAUUUGCUGAGACUAAGUCGCAUUAGCGAGUUGGUGGGGUAAAGGCUUACCAAGGCGACGAUCCGUAGCUGCGCUGAGAGGGUGAUCAGCCACACUGGAACUGAGACACGGUCCAGACUCCUACGGGAGGCAGCAGUGGGGAAUCUUGGACAAUGGGCGAAAGCCUGAUGCAGCCACGCCGCGUGUGUGAUGAAGGUCUUCGGAUCGUAAAGCUCUGUUAGUUGGGAAGAAGAACUGUAAGUUUAUACCUGGCUGUCUUGACGUUACCUACAGAGUAAGCACCGGCUAACUUCGUG
Molecule: ribosomal RNA, 484 nt
Filed under: uncultured bacterium
Lineage: Bacteria
Description: partial 16S ribosomal RNA
Rfam family: Bacterial small subunit ribosomal RNA
Source: RNAcentral